UGGUGCGUAACUCAAUGGACAGAGUAGCGGUCUCUUAAGCCGAAGGCUGUGGGGUGAGAGCGGGGUUUCGGCGAAUGAAGAGUUUCAUUCGCCGCCGCUCGAACGGAACAUGCUCUGCAUGUUCGGGGUCGCGGGACGUGACCAAGUCCCUCCGCACCAACCA
Molecule: transfer RNA, 163 nt
Filed under: Betaproteobacteria bacterium
Lineage: Bacteria; Pseudomonadati; Pseudomonadota; Betaproteobacteria
Description: tRNA-Lys
Source: RNAcentral